This 422-nucleotide ribosomal RNA is filed under the name uncultured bacterium. Its description in RNAcentral is "partial 16S ribosomal RNA". It matches the Rfam family "Bacterial small subunit ribosomal RNA", at positions 360 to 774 of the family's 1533-position model. The record is from RNAcentral.
AAUUUUGGACAAUGGGGGAAACCUUGAUCCACCCAUCCGCCUUGUAUGUUGAGGGCCNNNGGGUUNUAAAGUACUUUUGGCAGNGACNAAAAGUUACUUCCUAUUACGAUUUGUUGCUACUGUUUUCUGCAGAAUAGGCACCGCCUAACUAGUUGCCAGCAGCCGCGGUAAUACGUAGGGUGUAAGCGUUAAUCGGAAUUACUGGGCGUAAAGCGUGUGUAGGCGGUUCGGAAAGAAAGAUGUGAAAUCCCAGGGCUCAACCUUGGAGCUGCAUUUUUAACUGCCGAGCUAGAGUAUGUCAGAGGGGGGUAGAAUUCCACGUGUAGCAGUGAAAUGCGUAGAUAUGUGGAGGAAUACCGAUGGCGAAGGCAGCCCCCUGGGAUAAUACUGACGCUCAGACACGAAAGCGUGGGGAACAAACA